AUAAUGUGGAGGCCAGAAACCACUUAAAAAAAACGGAGCGUAACUGAAAAGCUAAUAGAGUAGGAUAAAU
Bacteroidetes bacterium GWA2_30_7 is the source of this 70-nucleotide non-coding RNA. NCBI's taxonomy places the organism in Bacteria, Pseudomonadati, Bacteroidota. The record is from Rfam.